Molecule: ribosomal RNA, 558 nt
Filed under: bacterium T-1-0-9D
Lineage: Bacteria
Description: bacterial SSU rRNA
Rfam family: Bacterial small subunit ribosomal RNA
Source: RNAcentral
ACGCCGCGUGAGUGAUGAAGGUUUUCGGAUCGUAAAACUCUGUUGUAAGGGAAGAACAAGUGCGUUAGGUAAUGAACGCACCUUGACGGUACCUUAUUAGAAAGCCACGGCUAACUACGUGCCAGCAGCCGCGGUAAUACGUAGGUGGCAAGCGUUGUCCGGAUUUAUUGGGCGUAAAGCGCGCGCAGGUGGUUUCUUAAGUCUGAUGUGAAAGCCCACGGCUCAACCGUGGAGGGUCAUUGGAAACUGGGGAACUUGAGUGCAGAAGAGGAUAGUGGAAUUCCAAGUGUAGCGGUGAAAUGCGUAGAGAUUUGGAGGAACACCAGUGGCGAAGGCGACUGUCUGGUCUGUAACUGACACUGAGGCGCGAAAGCGUGGGGAGCAAACAGGAUUAGAUACCCUGGUAGUCCACGCCGUAAACGAUGAGUGCUAAGUGUUAGGGGGUUUCCGCCCCUUAGUGCUGCAGCUAACGCAUUAAGCACUCCGCCUGGGGAGUACGACCGCAAGGUNGAAACUCAAAGGAAUNGACGGGGGCCCGCACAAGCGGUGGAGCAUGUG